AAGCAGGUUCCCUGGGCUUCCCACCAUCUGAUGCUGCAGCUUUUUCUGGAGAGACAUUCCUUCAUCCACCUGACAGGCUGUGAUGGGAGGACACAGAUACUCGGCCAGCUGGGAAAAGCAAAGAGAAGAUGGCAAUGGCGUGUUACGUGCUUGCUGAUUAUCUGAGAAAUGCCUUGGGACAAUUAAUGCUGGUUACCAAUAAAUAUCCUACUUAAAUAAGACAAGAGCAAAAAACACCACUGACCUUGAAGUUCUCUAGAGACUUCUGGUUACUCAGGGACUUUGAAGGAGCAGGGUCCACAACAGGGAAGGCGCUGUCAGUCAGAAGGGUCCUUUCCUCCUGGCUGCUGUGUGCUCUUCUGCCACGGUUUGUACCGGGCUCAGACCUGAGGAAACCAGCUCACCUGCUUUCAUGCUAGCUGUGCUCAGAAGCUCCCAGACUGACUGCGGUCCGUGCAGAGCGCUGACCAUCCAGUGAAGUCAAGUUGCCUUUAAUGAUGCAAGAUUGGCUCUGUGCUGGAUAGCCCUAGUUGGACAGAGGAACAGAGAUUUAGCAGGUGAACCUUCAGGCUCCAAAGACUGAGAACUUGUGACCUGUCAGAUCAGGAGCUGAGACUUCUGUUUGUCACUGCCUGCUCAGUUCUGACGUGCUUUCUUGCUUGGAGCAAAGGAGCUGUGCUUCAAAGACAGCUUUUGGGGAAAUUCUGGUUCAUCAAAGCCUGGUUUGGUGCUUAGGUAAGUUCAGGUUUCAUGGGAGAAUGAAGGACUGGACUCAGAUGUCACAAGAGGAUUUUGCAGAGGUUUAACAUAGCUUGAGCCAAUUUAACAAAUAACUUUCGGUAUUUUAUCUUCACAUCUAGCACUUUAAGGC
Long non-coding RNA from Dromaius novaehollandiae (emu), 871 nucleotides. RefSeq lists it as uncharacterized. The transcript is spliced from 6 exons. Lineage: Eukaryota; Metazoa; Chordata; Aves; Casuariiformes; Dromaiidae. The record is from RefSeq and is a predicted model, not a curated record.